GCCUCCGUAGCUCAACGGAUAGAGCAGUGGACUUCUAAUCCGAAGGUUGCGGGUUCGAGUCCCGCCGGGGGCG
Molecule: transfer RNA, 73 nt
Filed under: Bifidobacteriaceae bacterium
Lineage: Bacteria; Bacillati; Actinomycetota; Actinomycetes; Bifidobacteriales; Bifidobacteriaceae
Description: tRNA-Arg
Rfam family: tRNA
About the family: Transfer RNA (tRNA) molecules are approximately 80 nucleotides in length.
Source: RNAcentral